CCUACGGGAGGCAGCAGUGGGGAAUAUUGCACAAUGGGGGAAAUCCUGAUGCAGCGACGCCGCGUGAGUGAAGAAGGAUUUAGGUAUGGAAAGCUCUAUCAGCAGGGAAGAAAAUGACGGUACCUGAUUAGGAAGCCUCGGCUAACUACGUGCCAGCAGCCGCGGUAAUAUGUAGGGGGCAAGCGUUAUCCGGAUUGACUGGGUGUAAAGGGAGCGUAGACGGCUGCAAAAGUGUGGAGUGAAAUGCCGGGGCUUAAGCCCGGACGUGCUGUGGAAACUGUGCAACUAGAGUGCAGGAGGGGUAAGUGGAAUUCGCGGUGUAGCGGUGAAAUGCGUAGAUAUUAGGAGGAACACCAGUGGCGAAGGCGGCUUACUGGACUGUAACUGACGUUGAGGCUCGAAAGCGUGGGGAGCGAACAGGAUUAGAUACCCGAGUAGUC
Molecule: ribosomal RNA, 440 nt
Filed under: uncultured bacterium
Lineage: Bacteria
Description: partial 16S ribosomal RNA
Rfam family: Bacterial small subunit ribosomal RNA
Source: RNAcentral